AUUAGAGUUUGAUCAUGGCUCAGAUUGAACGCUGGCGGCAGGCUUAACACAUGCAAGUCGAGCGGGGGAGAUUGCUUCGGUAAUUGACCUAGCGGCGGACGGGUGAGUAAUACUUAGGAAUCUGCCUAUUAAUGGGGGACAACAUCUCGAAAGGGAUGCUAAUACCGCAUACGCCCUACGGGGGAAAGCAGGGGAUCACUUGUGACCUUGCGUUAAUAGAUGAGCCUAAGUCGGAUUAGCUAGUUGGUGGGGUAAAGGCCUACCAAGGCGACGAUCUGUAGCGGGUCUGAGAGGAUGAUCCGCCACACUGGGACUGAGACACGGCCCAGACUCCUACGGGAGGCAGCAGUGGGGAAUAUUGGACAAUGGGGGGAACCCUGAUCCAGCCAUGCCGCGUGUGUGAAGAAGGCCUUAUGGUUGUAAAGCACUUUAAGCAAGGAGGAGGCUCUCUUGGUUAAUACCCAAGAUGAGUGGACGUUACUCGCAGAAUAAGCACCGGCUAACUCUGUGCCAGCAGCCGCGGUAAUACAGAGGGUGCGAGCGUUAAUCGGAUUUACUGGGCGUAAAGCGUGCGUAGGCGGCUUUUUAAGUCGGAUGUGAAAUCCCCGAGCUUAACUUGGGAAUUGCAUUCGAUACUGGGAAGCUAGAGUAUGGGAGAGGAUGGUAGAAUUCCAGGUGUAGCGGUGAAAUGCGUAGAGAUCUGGAGGAAUACCGAUGGCGAAGGCAGCCAUCUGGCCUAAUACUGACGCUGAGGUACGAAAGCAUGGGGAGCAAACAGGAUUAGAUACCCUGGUAGUCCAUGCCGUAAACGAUGUCUACUAGCCGUUGGGGCCUGUGAGGCUUUAGUGGCGCAGCUAACGCGAUAAGUAGACCGCCUGGGGAGUACGGUCGCAAGACUAAAACUCAAAUGAAUUGACGGGGGCCCGCACAAGCGGUGGAGCAUGUGGUUUAAUUCGAUGCAACGCGAAGAACCUUACCUGGUCUUGACAUAGUAAGAACUUUCCAGAGAUGGAUUGGUGCCUUCGGGAACUUACAUACAGGUGCUGCAUGGCUGUCGUCAGCUCGUGUCCGUGGAAUGUUUGGGUUUAAGUCCCGCAACGGAGCGCAAACCCCUUUUCCCUUAUUUGGCCAGCCACUUCGGGGUGGGACCUUUAAAGGAUACCUGCAGUGACAAAACUGGAAGAAAGAGGGGGACGAACCGUCAAGUCUAUUCAUGGUCCUUACACGCACCAAGGGGCUAUC
RNAcentral lists this ribosomal RNA (1242 nucleotides) under uncultured bacterium. Its description in RNAcentral is "bacterial SSU rRNA". It matches the Rfam family "Bacterial small subunit ribosomal RNA", at positions 1 to 1218 of the family's 1533-position model. The record is from RNAcentral.